AUGGACGAGUCUGACAACGAGUCUGCCUCAGUUGCAAGCAUUCCAGAUCCCUAUGACAUGGUGUAUAGCAAAAUCCCAACAGACACACACAAGCUGAAGCCAGUGGAAGACUGCAAGCACUGCUAUGCAAAGAAGUUUGAGCGUGAGACCAUGGGGUUUUGCUGCCGUAAGGGGAAGAUCAAACUAGCCAACCCGGAUACGCCUCCUGAGCUCAUGAAGCUAUGGACGAGUGAUGACCCUGCUGCUAGGCAUUUUCGUGACAACAUCAGGUUUUUCAAUAGCCAUUUCUCAUUCACCUCACUAUAUUGUCACCUUGAUAGUGAUACCACUAACACAUUAAAGCAUCCUAUCUACACAUUCCGUGCCCAUGGCUAA
This 375-nucleotide ribosomal RNA is filed under the name Triticum aestivum (bread wheat). RNAcentral describes it as "partial small subunit ribosomal RNA". The record is from RNAcentral. Lineage: Eukaryota; Viridiplantae; Streptophyta; Magnoliopsida; Poales; Poaceae.